Molecule: long non-coding RNA, 422 nt
Filed under: Homo sapiens (human)
Lineage: Eukaryota; Metazoa; Chordata; Mammalia; Primates; Hominidae
Description: non-protein coding lnc-RBMY1B-1:2
Source: RNAcentral
UUCUAAGGUUCUAGUAUCUGAACAUGUGCUAUUAAUCACAAUUAAGUGUGUUAAGUUGGUUUAUGGUGAACCAUAAAAAUAACCAAAUUUGUCCAACAUGUUCUUGACUGUAACUACCCUGGAAAUUUUGUCAUUUACUGACAAUUUUUGUCUUGUUUCAAUCUUCUUCUUCUUAAAAAAAAAUAGAUUAUAAUCAGCUGUAGAACUUUAACAGGGAUUCUUUCAAAUGCUGGUUUCUAAUAACAGAAAAACUUACAGGACACAUGAAAAGUAGAAACUGAACUAGUAGAAAACUAAAGCAAUAUUCUUGACUUAUGCUUGGAACAUUGCUGAUUCUUAUUUUGUUUUUCAGAGUCAAGGACACUUGUCUUGAGCUAGCUACACCCUUUCACAACUCAGUAAGGAGUGAAGACUGAUUUUGC